AGAGUUUGAUCCUGGCUCAGGAUGAACGCUAGCUACAGGCUUAACACAUGCAAGUCGAGGGGCAGCAUGGUCUUAGCUUGCUAAGGCCGAUGGCGACCGGCGCACGGGUGAGUAACGCGUAUCCAACCUGCCUUACACUCUUGGACAGCCUUCUGAAAGGGAGAUUAAUACAAGAUGUUAUCAUGAGUAAGCAUUUUCGCAUGAUUAAAGGUUUACCGGUGUAAGAUGGGGAUGCGUUCCAUUAGAUAGUAGGCGGGGUAACGGCCCACCUAGUCUUCGAUGGAUAGGGGUUCUGAGAGGAAGGUCCCCCACAUUGGAACUGAGACACGGUCCAAACUCCUACGGGAGGCAGCAGUGAGGAAUAUUGGUCAAUGGACGAGAGUCUGAACCAGCCAAGUAGCGUGAAGGAUGAAGGUUCUAUGGAUUGUAAACUUCUUUUAUACGGGAAUAAACGAAUCCACGCGUGGAUUUUUGCAUGUACCGUAUGAAUAAGGAUCGGCUAACUCCGUGCCAGCAGCCGCGGUAAUACGGAGGAUCCGAGCGUUAUCCGGAUUUAUUGGGUUUAAAGGGAGCGUAGAUGGGUUGUUAAGUCAGUUGUGAAAGUUUGCGGCUCAACCGUAAAAUUGCAAUUGAUACUGGCAGUCUUGAGUACAGUUGAGGUAGGCGGAAUUCGUGGUGUAGCGGUGAAAUGCUUAGAUAUCACGAAGAACUCCGAUUGCGAAGGCAGCUUACUAACCUGUAACUGACAUUGAUGCUCGAAAGUGUGGGUAUCAAACAGGAUUAGAUACCCUGGUAGUCCACACGGUAAACGAUGAAUACUCGCUGUAGGCGAUAUACAGUCUGCGGCCAAGCGAAAGCAUUAAGUAUUCCACCUGGGGAGUACGCCGGCAACGGUGAAACUCAAAGGAAUUGACGGGGGCCCGCACAAGCGGAGGAACAUGUGGUUUAAUUCGAUGAUACGCGAGGAACCUUACCCGGGCUUAAAUUGCAACCGAAUAUGGCGGAAACGCUAUAGCUAGCAAUAGCGGUUGUGAAGGUGCUGCAUGGUUGUCGUCAGCUCGUGCCGUGAGGUGUCGGCUUAAGUGCCAUAACGAGCGCAACCCUUGCCGAUAGUUACUAACAGGUCAUGCUGAGGACUCUGUCGGGACUGCCAUCGUAAGAUGUGAGGAAGGUGGGGAUGACGUCAAAUCAGCACGGCCCUUACGUCCGGGGCUACACACGUGUUACAAUGGGGGGUACAGAGGGCUGCUACCACGCAAGUGGAUGCCAAUCCCAAAAACCUCUCUCAGUUCGGAUUGAAGUCUGCAACCCGACUUCAUGAAGCUGGAUUCGCUAGUAAUCGCGCAUCAGCCACGGCGCGGUGAAUACGUUCCCGGGCCUUGUACACACCGCCCGUCAAGCCAUGGGAGCCGGGGGUACCUGAAGUGCGUAACCGCAAGGAGCGCCCUAGGGUAAAACUGGUGACUGGGGCUAAGUCGUAACAAGGUAGCCG
This 1492-nucleotide ribosomal RNA is filed under the name uncultured bacterium. RNAcentral's name for it is "16S ribosomal RNA". It matches the Rfam family "Bacterial small subunit ribosomal RNA". The record is from RNAcentral.